UGUGAACUUAAUUUUAGAGCAAUUCAAGUAAGGUACAGCCUGCUUGAAACAGGAUACAACCUAAAAAUGUGGGUAAUUAAAUCUUUCUGCCAUAAAGUGGGCCUAAAAGCAGCCACCUUUUGAAUAGCGUCACAGCUUAAUCACAUACAGAUUUAAUAACAAAAAUUUUACCGAACCCCACCCUACUACCAAGCAAUUCUAUAUUUUUAUAGAACUUUUUAUGUUAAAACUAGUAACAAGAAGAACCCCUUCUCUUUAAUGCAAGCAUAAAUCAGCCAGGACCAACCACUGAUAAUUAACACCUAUGAACUAAUAGUAACAACACUUCAAGAAAACCUUACUUCAUCUUAUGUUAACCUAACACAAGAGCAUUAUAAGAAAGAUUAAAAGAAAAAGAAGGAACUCGGCAAACAUUAACCCCGCCUGUUUACCAAAAACAUCGCCUCUUGAUUCUAAUAAGAGGUCCAGCCUGCCCAGUGACUUUGUUCAACGGCCGCGGUAUCCUAACCGUGCGAAGGUAGCGUAAUCACUUGUUCUUUAAAUGAGGACUAGUAUGAAUGGCACCACGAAGGUUAUACUGUCUCCUUUCUCUAAUCAGUGAAACUAAUCUUCCCGUGAAGAAGCGGGAAUAAACAUAUAAGACGAGAAGACCCUAUGGAGCUUUAAACAAGUAUACAACUGCCUUUCCUAUUUUAAAAUUUCAGAAAACAAACCAUUAUUUAGGCAUUUUGAUAUAAAGUUUUAGGUUGGGGUGACCACGGAGAAAAAUGUAACCUCCGCAAUGAACGGGGCUUCCCCCCCUUAACUAAGAGCUACGACCCUAAGAAUCAAUAAAUUGACAUCAAUUGACCCAAUAAAUUUGAUCAAUGAACCAAGUUACCCUAGGGAUAACAGCGCAAUCCACUUCAAGAGCCCCUAUCGACAAGUGGGUUUACGACCUCGAUGUUGGAUCAGGGUAUCCUAGUGGUGCAGCCGCUACUAACGGUUCGUUUGUUCAACGAUUAAAACCCUACGUGAUCUGAGUUCAGACCGG
Molecule: ribosomal RNA, 1033 nt
Filed under: Leptodactylus mystacinus (moustached frog)
Lineage: Eukaryota; Metazoa; Chordata; Amphibia; Anura; Leptodactylidae
Description: partial large subunit ribosomal RNA
Rfam family: Bacterial large subunit ribosomal RNA
Source: RNAcentral